RNAcentral lists this transfer RNA (88 nucleotides) under Myxococcales bacterium. RNAcentral describes it as "tRNA-Ser". It matches the Rfam family "tRNA". From Rfam's summary of the family: Transfer RNA (tRNA) molecules are approximately 80 nucleotides in length. The record is from RNAcentral. Lineage: Bacteria; Pseudomonadati; Myxococcota; Myxococcia; Myxococcales.
GGAGAGGUAGCCAAGCGGCUGACGGCAGCGGUCUUGAAAACCGCCAGAGUGAAAGCUCUCGUGGGUUCGAAUCCCACCCUCUCCGCCA